RNAcentral lists this ribosomal RNA (253 nucleotides) under uncultured bacterium. RNAcentral describes it as "partial 16S ribosomal RNA". It matches the Rfam family "Bacterial small subunit ribosomal RNA", at positions 524 to 776 of the family's 1533-position model. The record is from RNAcentral.
UACGAAGGGGGCUAGCGUUGUUCGGAUUUACUGGGCGUAAAGCGCACGUAGGCGGAUUGUUAAGUCGGGGGUGAAAUCCUGGAGCUCAACUCCAGAACUGCCUUCGAUACUGGCAAUCUCGAGUCCGGAAGAGGUAAGUGGAACUCCUAGUGUAGAGGUGGAAUUCGUAGACAUUAGGAAGAACACCAGUGGCGAAGGCGGCUUACUGGUCCGGUACUGACGCUGAGGUGCGAAAGCGUGGGGAGCAAACAGG